UAGAAAAGAUAAUGCUAAAAUUAGUAAUAAGAGAAUAGCAUCUCUCCGAGCACAUGUGUAAGUCAGAUCGGACAAACCACUGACAAUUAACGGCCCCAGCAAAUGAGGGUACAAUCAGCCAAAACUAAACAACAAGAAGAUCCUGAUAUAUUAACCGUUAACCCAACACAGGCGCGCCACUUAAAGGAAAGACCAAAAGGAGUGGAAGGAACUCGGCAAACCCAAACCCCGCCUGUUUACCAAAAACAUCGCCUCUUGCUAAUAAAUUAUGUAUUAGAGGUCCCGCCUGCCCUGUGACCAUAAAUGUUUUAACGGCCGCGGUAUCCUGACCGUGCAAAGGUAGCGUAAUCACUUGUCUUUUAAAUGAAGACCCGUAUGAAUGGCACGACGAGGGUUUAACUGUCUCCCACACCCAGUCAAUGAAAUUGAUCUGUCCGUGCAGAAGCGGAUAUUAAAACAUAAGACGAGAAGACCCUAUGGAGCUUUAGGCCAAGGAUCAAACAUGUAAAAAAUCUGUUACCUCAAAAAGACAAAUAAAAAGCCUUAAACUAAUUGAUUAAUGAUCCAAGUACCUUCGGUUGGGGCGACCGCGGGGGAAAACAAAGCCCCCGAAUGGAACUGAAAACUUUCCAAGACAAGAGCUACAGCUCUAAGCAACAGAAAUCAUCUGACCAAAAAUGAUCCAGGAUAAAAUUACACCUGAUCAAUGAACCAAGUUACCCUAGGGAUAACAGCGCAAUCCUUUCCCAGAGUCCAUAUCGACGAAAGGGUUUACGACCUCGAUGUUGGAUCAGGACAUCCUAAUGGUGCAGCCGCUAUUAAGGGUUCGUUUGUUCAACGAUUAACAGUCCUACGUGAUCUGAGUUCAGACCGGAGUAAUCCAGGUCGGUUUCUAUCUAUGAACCUGCCUCUUCCCAGUACGAAAGGACCGGAAGAAGGGGGCCUAUACCAAAAGCAAGCCCCACCCCCAACUCCUGAAAACAAAUAAAAGAA
Molecule: ribosomal RNA, 993 nt
Filed under: Cynoponticus ferox (Guinea pike conger)
Lineage: Eukaryota; Metazoa; Chordata; Actinopteri; Anguilliformes; Muraenesocidae
Description: partial 16S ribosomal RNA
Rfam family: Bacterial large subunit ribosomal RNA
Source: RNAcentral